RNAcentral lists this long non-coding RNA (216 nucleotides) under Elaeis guineensis (African oil palm). RNAcentral describes it as "long non-coding RNA (EGUI_LNC081898)". The record is from RNAcentral. Lineage: Eukaryota; Viridiplantae; Streptophyta; Magnoliopsida; Arecales; Arecaceae.
AUCCCAAGUGGAUUUAAUCCGAUCAACAAUCCGAGCCCAAACAUCGCCGCCUUCGCCCUAUCCCUCACCAUGGGCAGUCCCCUACUGCUCAUCGAGAUCGGGGAGCCCUUCAUGGUUGCCGCCCUCGACAAAGAUGCUGAGCUUCUACACGAGGGCGGGUUCUUCUCCCGGCUUUGCUGACACACUAGCUAGAUUAAGAUUCUCUAUUCUUAUGCC